GCAACUAAAGCUUUUUUAAGAAGCAUUAAUCUUGUAAAUUAAAAGAAGAAAAAUUUUCUAGUUGCU
This 66-nucleotide transfer RNA is filed under the name Kulikovia alborostrata. Its description in RNAcentral is "tRNA-Thr". Lineage: Eukaryota; Metazoa; Nemertea; Pilidiophora; Heteronemertea; Lineidae. The record is from RNAcentral.